This 171-nucleotide ribosomal RNA is filed under the name Phoma herbarum. RNAcentral's name for it is "5.8S ribosomal RNA". The stretch from base 1 to 153 matches the Rfam family "5.8S ribosomal RNA". Rfam says of the family: 5.8S ribosomal RNA (5.8S rRNA) is a component of the large subunit of the eukaryotic ribosome. It is transcribed by RNA polymerase I as part of the 45S precursor that also contains 18S and 28S rRNA. Functionally, it is thought that 5.8S rRNA may be involved in ribosome translocation. The record is from RNAcentral. Lineage: Eukaryota; Fungi; Ascomycota; Dothideomycetes; Pleosporales; Didymellaceae.
ACUUUCAACAACGGAUCUCUUGGUUCUGGCAUCGAUGAAGAACGCAGCGAAAUGCGAUAAGUAGUGUGAAUUGCAGAAUUCAGUGAAUCAUCGAAUCUUUGAACGCACAUUGCGCCCCUUGGUAUUCCAUGGGGCAUGCCUGUUCGAGCGUCAUUUGUACCUUCAAGCAUU